GAACACUUCAACAUUCANACAGCAAAACUGGAUGAAUGCAGAGAUUAGCGUGGCCCUGCAUAAGAAUGACAGGCAGAUUCAGGAAAGAGUCCAUAUUUUA
Molecule: small nuclear RNA, 100 nt
Filed under: Neotoma lepida (desert woodrat)
Lineage: Eukaryota; Metazoa; Chordata; Mammalia; Rodentia; Cricetidae
Source: RNAcentral